GCCUGAUGCAGCGACGCCGCGUGAGGGAUGAAGGCCUUCGGGUUGUAAACCUCUUUCAGUAGGGAAGAAGCGAAAGUGACGGUACCUGCAGAAGAAGCGCCGGCUAACUACGUGCCAGCAGCCGCGGUAAUACGUAGGGCGCAAGCGUUAUCCGGAAUUAUUGGGCGUAAAGAGCUCGUAGGCGGUUUGUCGCGUCUGCCGUGAAAGUCCGGGGCUUAACUCCGGAUCUGCGGUGGGUACGGGCAGACUUGAGUGAUGUAGGGGAGACUGGAAUUCCUGGUGUAGCGGUGAAAUGCGCAGAUAUCAGGAGGAACACCGAUGGCGAAGGCAGGUCUCUGGGCAUUAACUGACGCUGAGGAGCGAAAGCAUGGGGAGCGAACAGGAUUAGAUACCCUGGUAGUCCAUGCCGUAAACGUUGGGCACUAGGUGUGGGGGACAUUCCACGUUUUCCGCGCCGUAGCUAACGCAUUAAGUGCCCCGCCUGGGGAGUACGGCCGCAAGGCUAAAACUCAAAGGAAUUGACGGGGGCCCGCACAAGCGGCGGAGCAUGCGGAUUAAUUCGAUGCAACGCGAAGAACCUUACCAAGGCUUGACAUGAACCGGAACGGCGCAGAGAUGUGUCGGCCACUUGUGGCCGGUUUACAGGUGGUGCAUGGUUGUCGUCAGCUCGUGUCGUGAGAUGUUGGGUUAAGUCCCGCAACGAGCGCAACCCUCGUUCCAUGUUGCCAGCGGGUUAUGCCGGGGACUCAUGGGAGACUGCCGGGGUCAACUCGGAGGAAGGUGGGGACGACGUCAAAUCAUCAUGCCCCUUAUGUCUUGGGCUUCACGCAUGCUACAAUGGCCGGUACAAAGGGUUGCGAUGCUGUGAGGUGGAGCUAAUCCCAAAAAGCCGGUCUCAGUUCGGAUUGAGGUCUGCAACUCGACCUCAUGAAGUCGGAGUCGCUAGUAAUCGCAGAUCAGCAACGCUGCGGUGAAUACGUUCCCGGGCCUUGUA
This 994-nucleotide ribosomal RNA is filed under the name Arthrobacter sp. HZDC47. Its description in RNAcentral is "bacterial SSU rRNA". It matches the Rfam family "Bacterial small subunit ribosomal RNA", at positions 381 to 1385 of the family's 1533-position model. Lineage: Bacteria; Bacillati; Actinomycetota; Actinomycetes; Micrococcales; Micrococcaceae. The record is from RNAcentral.